GGGCCGGUAGCUCAGCAUGGUUAGAGCGCGGGACUCUUAAUCCCGUGGUCGGGGGUUCGAAUCCCCCCGGCCCGCCA
RNAcentral lists this transfer RNA (77 nucleotides) under Thermococcus sp. ES12. RNAcentral describes it as "tRNA-Lys". It matches the Rfam family "tRNA". Rfam says of the family: Transfer RNA (tRNA) molecules are approximately 80 nucleotides in length. Their secondary structure includes four short double-helical elements and three loops (D, anti-codon, and T loops). Further hydrogen bonds mediate the characteristic L-shaped molecular structure. tRNAs have two regions of fundamental functional importance: the anti-codon, which is responsible for specific mRNA codon recognition, and the 3' end, to which the tRNAs corresponding amino acid is attached (by aminoacyl-tRNA synthetases). tRNAs cope with the degeneracy of the genetic code in two manners: having more than one tRNA (with a specific anti-codon) for a particular amino acid; and 'wobble' base-pairing, i.e. permitting non-standard base-pairing at the 3rd anti-codon position. The record is from RNAcentral. Lineage: Archaea; Methanobacteriati; Methanobacteriota; Thermococci; Thermococcales; Thermococcaceae.